AGUCGCCGCGGGAAUACGGAGGAUCCAAGCGUUAUCCGGAAUCAUUGGGUUUAAAGGGUCCGUAGGCGGUCUUGUAAGUCAGUGGUGAAAGCCCAUCGCUCAACGGUGGAACGGCCAUUGAUACUGCAGGACUUGAAUUAUUGGGAAGUAACUAGAAUAUGUAGUGUAGCGGUGAAAUGCUUAGAGAUUACAUGGAAUACCAAUUGCGAAGGCAGGUUACUACCAAUUGAUUGACGCUGAUGGACGAAAGCGUGGGUAGCGAACAGGAUUAGAUACCCCUGUAGUCCCUGUCUCUUAUACA
This 301-nucleotide ribosomal RNA is filed under the name uncultured bacterium. RNAcentral's name for it is "partial 16S ribosomal RNA". It matches the Rfam family "Bacterial small subunit ribosomal RNA", at positions 510 to 808 of the family's 1533-position model. The record is from RNAcentral.